Long non-coding RNA from Lagopus muta (rock ptarmigan), 602 nucleotides. RefSeq lists it as uncharacterized. The record is from RefSeq and is a predicted model, not a curated record. Lineage: Eukaryota; Metazoa; Chordata; Aves; Galliformes; Phasianidae. The transcript is spliced from 3 exons.
GAUGCAGUGGAUUCUCAUCCCUUCUGAUGAGCAAGAAGAGGAAAGUGCUUCUCUCCUCUUUCUGCAGAUGUGCCCUGGAACAGUGAGCUGCAGCACACCUGCAGAACUGCUCCUGGGAUCAGGAUCCUGCCCAGCACCGGAGUAUGAAGGCAGUGAGCAAGGAAUGGGCUCACAGAGACUGUUGAAGUGUGUGAGGAGGAAAAAUAACACAAUGAGGAAAAAAUACAAAAAAGCAACCGGUGCCAUGAAUAAUCCUAAAAUAUGAAUAGAUAUACUGGACAAAAGGAGUGAUGUGAUGGGUUGGAUAAUGUGGAGCAGAGCGAGCCAGGACUGAACUGAGUGAUGUGGAACGGCACUGGAUGGCACUGGUAAGGACGAAGGCAACAGAAUUUGGCCCUCCAAAAUGGAAUAUGUGGUUCAGCCAAGGCCUUUCCUUGUGGUGCCUAGCAGCACAGUGUGGUGAGUUCCCCUCAUGCACAACCUGGUGGCACUGAGUAACAUGGUGGUUCUGUUAAUGCUGGCAGUAGAUUUGCUCCCUGCUCUUUCCCCUUGUAAAGGAAAGUAGGAGAUGACUCAGGAAAACUCUGAAGAUGCUUCUGAGU